GAUGAACGCUAGCGGGAGGCUUAACACAUGCAAGUCGAGGGGCAGCACGGGUAGCAAUACUUGGUGGCGACCGGCAGACGGGUGAGUAACGCGUAUGUAACCUACCCCAUACAGAGGGAUAACUCGAAGAAAUUCGGACUAAUAUCUCAUAAGACCACACGAGGACAUCCGAGAGUGGUUAAAGUUCCGGCGGUAUGGGCUGGGCAUGCGUAACAUUAGCUAGUUGGUAAGGUAACGGCUUACCAAGGCUUCGAUGUUUAGGGGUCCUGAGAGGGUGGUACCCCCACACUGGUACUGAGACACGGACCAGACUCCUACGGGAGGCAGCAGUGAGGAAUAUUGGUCAAUGGGCGCAAGCCUGAACCAGCCAUCCCGCGUGCAGGAAGACGGCCCUAUGGGUUGUAAACUGCUUUUCCAGGGGGCGAAUAGCUCUUACGUGUAAGGGUAUGACUGUACCUUGGGAAUAAGCAUCGGCUAACUCCGUG
RNAcentral lists this ribosomal RNA (485 nucleotides) under uncultured bacterium. RNAcentral describes it as "bacterial SSU rRNA". It matches the Rfam family "Bacterial small subunit ribosomal RNA", at positions 28 to 507 of the family's 1533-position model. The record is from RNAcentral.